This 301-nucleotide ribosomal RNA is filed under the name uncultured bacterium. RNAcentral's name for it is "partial 16S ribosomal RNA". It matches the Rfam family "Bacterial small subunit ribosomal RNA", at positions 509 to 807 of the family's 1533-position model. The record is from RNAcentral.
CAGUAGCCACGGGAAUACGUAGGGUGCAAGCGUUAAUCGGAAUUACUGGGCGUAAAGCGUGCGCAGGCGGUUAUAUAAGUCAGAUGUGAAAUCCCCGGGCUCAACCUGGGAACUGCAUUUGAGACUGUAUGGCUAGAGUGUGUCAGAGGGGGGUAGAAUUCCACGUGUAGCAGUGAAAUGCGUAGAUAUGUGGAGGAAUACCGAUGGCGAAGGCAGCCCCCUGGGAUAACACUGACGCUCAUGCACGAAAGCGUGGGGAGCAAACAGGAUUAGAUACCCCAGUAGUCCCUGUCUCUUAUAC